ACGAACGCUGGCGGCGUGGAUAAGACAUGCAAGUCGAACGCUGAUUUCAGGGUAGCAAUAUUCUGGAGUCGGAGUGGCGCAAGGGUGCGUAACACGUGGGUAAUUUGCCGUGAAGCCUGGGAUAACUUGCUGAAAGGCGAGCUAAUACCGGAUGUGAUUAUCGGGAGGCAUCUCCUGAACCUUAAAGUUGGGGACCGUAAGGCCUGACACUUCACGAUAAGCCCGCGGCCUAUCAGCUAGUUGGUGAGGUAACGGCUCACCAAGGCUAAGACGGGUAGCUGGUCUGAGAGGACGACCAGCCACACUGGAACUGAGACACGGUCCAGACACCUACGGGUGGCAGCAGUCGAGAAUUUUUCACAAUGGGCGAAAGCCUGAUGGAGCGACGCCGCGUGGGGGAUGAAUGGCUUCGGCCCCGUAAACCCCUGUCAUCUGGGAACAAUUCUCAUCCGAUAACACCGGGUGAGUUGAUAGUACCGGAAGAGGAAGGGACGGCGUAACUCU
Molecule: ribosomal RNA, 504 nt
Filed under: uncultured bacterium
Lineage: Bacteria
Description: bacterial SSU rRNA
Rfam family: Bacterial small subunit ribosomal RNA
Source: RNAcentral